Molecule: long non-coding RNA, 1402 nt
Filed under: Vulpes vulpes (red fox)
Lineage: Eukaryota; Metazoa; Chordata; Mammalia; Carnivora; Canidae
Description: lncRNA (ENSVVUG00000022057.1)
Source: RNAcentral
AGCAAUAUUAGCAAUUCCAAGGACGCCUUUGAUCACUUCUGUCGUUCCCCAAAGGCCUCAAUAUAAGACAUCGUGCUUUCAGACCCGAGGAAGCAAAUUUUAUUUUAUUUUUUAUUUGUAGGAACUUGCCUUGAAUUCUGAGAGAGGAAAAUAAACCAAGCUAAUCAAGAAACUUGCUGAGGCACUAUGUAUGCAAACACAGACUGGUCUGCUGGAGCGGGAGAGACACGUGGGGCAGAUGGUCACCUGAGCAAGUGCAAAGGCCUGAAGAUCAAGAGGUCUGAUGCAUAUGAAGAGCAGUCUGGAGGCCAGACUGAGGGGAGAGUGAUUGCCUUUGUGUUCCUUGGUAUCAUUUUCAAGUUUGGUGAACAGCUGUCAUCUUCAAAACUUAUCAAGGAAUAAAAAUCAAAAUGCUGCACAAGGUUGAGCAGUUGGAUUGUGGCACCACUACCACCCUCCAUGGUCAAGUGUAACCCCUUCCUCUGCCAUCUCUUUGGCUGGGGAAGCCUCACCUUGCAUGUUCAUGGGUUAGCAGCAGAAGGUGGAAGAGAGUUUCUUAGUUUCUAUUUUUAUUCCCUCUGCUUCCCUCUUAGUAUAGCUUUCACCUUUAUGGACUGUGCUCACCAGGGACCUUGUACACAUUAAUCAUAGGGGAAAUCUCUUUAUGUGUAUGUGUAACUGCCAUAAAAGGAAUGAAUCAAAAUUCAACUCUGUGCCUAGUUUUGGUAGCAUGUGACUCAUUUUCAUGGCCCUAGAACUAAAACGUGGUAGUUAAAACAGUAAAGUGAUAUUUAUAGGGUAAUUUUGAUCAAACCUGUCAUAACUUUCAUUUCUGGGUAAGUCUGUAUGUCCUUUGUUACAGCUCUAAUUACACUGACAGGUUUUUCAGAGGGAAUGUUAGGGUAGAGGUUAUUUAAAUAUGAAACCAAAGGUUUGACAUCAUUUAAGAGGGAAUGAUUUUUAUUUCCUAACAUAUAUUUUAAUGUAACAUAAACUUACUGGAUUAUUUCUCUUUCCUGAAUACUCCCAUUAUUUUUAUUUUAUUUUAUCAUUUAUUUUAUCAUUGAGGCAGAAGGAGAAUGAAUGGUGUUAGUCUCCCUUCCUCCUACCCAGACAUGGAACAGCCUUAAACAGUAUUGCUCGGUUCAGAUAUGAACUGAUGGUACACUGUUUAUCUAGCUCCCUGAUGGUGUCCCUCAUGAAACUCUAUAGCUGCAGGGCUUUCUCAGGUUACAAAUUUAGCAGCGCUCCUUUGGUGACUUUCCUCUUUCCACAUCACUCCAGGGAUCUCUAUUAACUUAACACACUAAAAAUAACACCGAAGAACUGCUGAACAGGGAAGGAGACCAGUAGGGCUGGGGGAAGGCUCAAUAUUGCUCACAUUGAUCAGAAACCUGGACCC